AGAGUUCGUAUCCUGGCUCAGGACGAACGCUGCGGCGUGCUUAACACAUGCAAGUCGAACGGGCCGUCCUGUUUUUGGGGCGGGUUGAGUGGCGAACGGGUGAGUAUCACGUGAGUAACCUGCCCUCCUCUCCUGGAUAACCGCUUGAAAGGGCGGCUAAUACGGGGUGGUCCGGUUGGUCCGCAUGGGCUGGUCGGGAUAGUUUCAUCUUCGGGUGUUUCGGUGGGGGAUGGGCUCGCGGCCUAUCAGCUUGUUGGUGGGGUGAUGGCCUACCAAGGCGGUGACGGGUAGCCGGCCUGAGAGGGUGGGCGGCCACACUGGGACUGAGACACGGCCCAGACUCCUGCGGGAGGCAGCAGUGGGGGGUAUUGCACAAUGGGCGGAAGCCUGAUGCAGCGACGUCGCGUGAGGGAUGGAGGCCUUCGGGUUGUGAACCUCUGUUUCCGGUGGUGAAGGCCCUGCCCUUGGUGGUGGGGUUGACGGUAGCCGGGUAUGAAGCGCCGGCUAACUACGUG
RNAcentral lists this ribosomal RNA (515 nucleotides) under uncultured Actinomyces sp. Its description in RNAcentral is "bacterial SSU rRNA". It matches the Rfam family "Bacterial small subunit ribosomal RNA", at positions 8 to 507 of the family's 1533-position model. The record is from RNAcentral. Lineage: Bacteria; Bacillati; Actinomycetota; Actinomycetes; Actinomycetales; Actinomycetaceae.